RNAcentral lists this long non-coding RNA (2547 nucleotides) under Leptinotarsa decemlineata (Colorado potato beetle). RNAcentral's name for it is "uncharacterized LOC111502758". The record is from RNAcentral. Lineage: Eukaryota; Metazoa; Arthropoda; Insecta; Coleoptera; Chrysomelidae.
AUGCCUAUCUUUCAAUGGAUGCUUAUGAGAUCCAUUUCAAUGUUUGAAAUAAUGGUAACAUAUUAAUUGGUAAGUAAUUGGAUAACUAUUUAGACGGAGAUGAUAUGACUUCUUAUUAAAUGAAUGUGGUACUUGCCUUGAGCAUUUCAUACACAUUAUAUUAGUUAUCUUCUGCCAUGUAAUUCAAAUGAAUUUUCUAGUAGUUGUUGCAAAAUUGACACUAUCACACAAGAAAAUGAUUUUAGGCGGCCUGACAAACCAUUGCGACAGAUCUGAUGGAGAAAGGUUCCAAAUGCAUUGGUUUUGUUUUCCAUAGAGAACAGAUUUUGAAUAGACAGUCAUAUUUUGAAGGUAUGUAUGUAUGUUUACUUUUUGUUGUCUAUAAGUAGAUAAAUUUUCACCUUUUUCAAAAUUAAAAUUGAUAAUUGAAAACAUCCUUUGGUCAAGCGAAUUUCAUCAAAAGACAUAUUAGUUAAUAGCCGAGGCCUUUGCUCAAAGAGUUCAGAUGAGAUAAUAUAGUUCAAAUAAGAGUAUAAAUUUUAAAUCAUAAGGGGUCAACAGAACUUGCUCUAUAUAUCUUUAUCAAUUUAGAAGGACUUCCAAUGAUCCAAUGUUCCACACAAUGUAUAUGUGUGUAUCUAUAGUAAUAAUCGAUUUCAGAAAUUAAAUUCCUGAAAUAUAUCUUGCACAUAAGUACCUAACUUAUCUUUGAGAUAUGACAGCUCAAAUUGCCUGGUAUAUGUGUGUUUCUAUAGUAAUUAUCGAUUUCAGGAAGUAAAUCGCUUACUGGGAGCAGGGGUUGUUUCAGAUAGUUCAUAUUGAUAUAUUCUGACUAUACUUGUUUGCCGCAGAGUUUUGGUUAACAGUUCCAAUUCUUUAAUGUCUUAAAUUUAUUUCCCUAUAUCUUUUCCCAAUUUAACUACAUAUCCCGCAAUAGAUACUCUAAUGAAGGAAUUAUUUGGAAAUUUUACCCUUUUCCUGUAAAAACAAGGAACAAUUCUUCAAGAAUUUUUUGCCAUUUUUUUGUCAUAGGGACUCACUCUGGCGGGGUGUGAGCAUCGCUCAGGUGUGCAGCAUCCUUAAAAGGGUGAUCUUGGGGGGUAUUGUCUGUGCUAGCGCGGAGGUCAAGGCCGGUCAGCGUGUGAAGCCCGCCUAAGGGCGGCCAGGCAAUGCUACUGGGGGAUCCUGAGCUCCAUGGAUCCGUUGCAGCUGAGGACUUGUACACAGCGCCAGGGAAGAAAUGGGGGUAUUCCGAAAAUUUCAAUUAUAUUUCGGUGAAGUUUCACUGUUUCAGUCUGGUAGUGCUAUAUCUUACCCCAGUUGAAGGUGACAACUGGUUAAAUCAAUAUUAUAACCUUUCCUUUUUUUCACCACAGAUGCACAGUCUGGGAAUUUCCUGAUCUGGUUUUGGCGUGGUUGGUGGUUGUUCCAAGUAUUCUGGGAGAACUGGAUGUUCUCACCGGUGCAGCUAUUAACAUCUAGCAGCGAAGAGGGCAUUCAGACCAGAUUGUUCGUGACACCUUCUGGCUAUGCUGUGUCCUUGCCUGGGAGUUACCAAACAUUGCAUCUUUCUUUUUCUUUUGCUUUCUUUCAUUCAACCUGUCUAGUGUUUUGAGAGUAGAGUUUCAGCUUAUUAAAUGCUAUAAUUUACGUUUUUUUUUAUAUUAAGUAUGAAAAGAAUAAGCAAAAAUUCCAAAGCUCUACUUUGAAUUUUUUUGGGGAGGAAGGGAGAUAUGUAACGGUUGAACGUUACAUUAUUUAUAAUAACUGAAUUUAUCAUAAAUAUGAGCCCCCUAUCUAGUGACCAAGAGUAAAACAAUAAUAAUGAUUUCGUAUCUGCCAGAGCAUCUUGCGGAAGAUAGCCGAAUCAUCAAUCAAUGAAACCUACAACACUUAUAUUUUUACAGAACGCAAUUUCAAGUUCGCGUCAGUAGGUAGAAUAAAAUAUGUAUGAACGAAUUCAAUAUUUCUCAAAGGGACUGGUGGGCCCGCUCGCUUACUUUUUGACGAUGGUCGAAGCAACAUCAAUUGAUGAAUUGAUCACUUGAAUUGAUUGCGUUGUUUGAAUAUAUCGAUCUAAUCUUCCUUUUUCCGUUUUUGAUGAAGUGUUCAUUGUUUGAACUGAGUAACAGCAUUUGGCUGCAUGACUAGUGAAGUUCCAAAAGGAUCGCAAAUUAUAUUGUCCGGAAUAGAAGCUGAAGGUUGUUCCUGCUGGGAAAAUAUAUAUAUUAGAGAUAUAUAUAUUAGAUAAUUAAGGCUGGAGACGAUUAUGGUUAUAGUUUCCAAGGGAUACAAGGGUGAACAUAUCAGCCCUACUGAGAUCCCCAACCAGUAACUGGUCUUCAAGGUCGAUGCUCCGUUCUCAAAAAGGUACAAGGGUGAAUAUAGAAGCCCUAUAUAUUGAACGCUGACGAAUACAAGACAACCUACACCGAACUGGGUGCAGUCUACUAUUGUAAGAACUAACAGGUACCUCUGUAAAUAUUGUAUUGCAUUUAUGUACAAUUCAUUGUUAUGAUUGCAUAUUUAUUUUAUUAUAUUUCAUAU